UGUCGGACUUCAAAGCCGCAGAGCAGUGGCUGCCACAGCGGGCGGAGGU
RNAcentral lists this transfer RNA (49 nucleotides) under Alexandrium tamarense. Its description in RNAcentral is "partial Selenocysteine transfer RNA". The record is from RNAcentral. Lineage: Eukaryota; Dinophyceae; Gonyaulacales; Pyrocystaceae.